This 532-nucleotide ribosomal RNA is filed under the name uncultured bacterium. Its description in RNAcentral is "partial 16S ribosomal RNA". It matches the Rfam family "Bacterial small subunit ribosomal RNA", at positions 355 to 904 of the family's 1533-position model. The record is from RNAcentral.
UGGGGAAUAUUGGACAAUGGGGGCAACCCUGAUCCAGCAAUGCCGCGUGUGUGAAGAAGGUUUUCGGAUUGUAAAGCACUUUCGACGGGGACGAUGAUGACGGUACCCGUAGAAGAAGCCCCGGCUAACUUCGUGCCAGCAGCCGCGGUAAUACGAAGGGGGCUAGCGUUGCUCGGAAUGACUGGGCGUAAAGGGCGUGUAGGCGGUUUGUACAGUCAGAUGUGAAAUCCCCGGGCUUAACCUGGGAGCUGCAUUUGAUACGUGCAGACUAGAGUGUGAGAGAGGGUUGUGGAAUUCCCAGUGUAGAGGUGAAAUUCGUAGAUAUUGGGAAGAACACCGGUGGCGAAGGCGGCAACCUGGCUCAUAACUGACGCUGAGGCGCGAAAGCGUGGGGAGCAAACAGGAUUGGAUACCCUGGUAGUCCACGCUGUAAACGAUGUGUGCUAGAUGUUGGGUAACUUAGUUAUUCAGUGUCGCAGUUAACGCGUUAAGCACACCGCCUGGGGAGUACGGCCGCAAGGUUGAAACUCUA